AACCUACUAGCUCAAUAGGUAAAACAUUGUGUAAAUGCACAAAGGUUGUUGGUUCAAAUCCCACGUAGGUUG
Molecule: transfer RNA, 72 nt
Filed under: Beta vulgaris subsp. vulgaris (sugar beet)
Lineage: Eukaryota; Viridiplantae; Streptophyta; Magnoliopsida; Caryophyllales; Amaranthaceae
Rfam family: tRNA
About the family: Transfer RNA (tRNA) molecules are approximately 80 nucleotides in length.
Source: Rfam by way of RNAcentral